AUUGAACGCUGGCGGCAUGCUUUACACAUGCAAGUCGAACGGUAACAGGCCUUCGGGUGCUGACGAGUGGCGCACGGGUGAGUAAUGCAUCGGAACGUACCCAGAGGUGGGGGAUAACGCAGCGAAAGCUGUGCUAAUACCGCAUGUGAUCUGAGGAUGAAAGCGGGGGACCGAGCAGCAAUGUUUGGCCUCGCGCCUUUGGAGCGGCCGAUGUCGGAUUAGCUAGUUGGUGGGGUAAAGGCCUACCAAGGCGACGAUCCGUAGCUGGUCUGAGAGGACGACUAGCCACACUGGGACUGAGACACGGCCCAGACUCCUACGGGAGGCAGCAGUGGGGAAUUUUGGACAAUGGGCGCAAGCCUGAUCCAGCAAUGCCGCGUGCGGGAAGAAGGCCUUCGGGUUGUAAACCGCUUUUGGCAGGAACGAAACGGUGUCCGCUAAUACCGGGCGCUAAUGACGGUACCUGCAGAAUAAGCACCGGCUAACUACGUG
RNAcentral lists this ribosomal RNA (492 nucleotides) under uncultured bacterium. RNAcentral's name for it is "partial 16S ribosomal RNA". It matches the Rfam family "Bacterial small subunit ribosomal RNA", at positions 30 to 507 of the family's 1533-position model. The record is from RNAcentral.